AGGAACCGGAUGCGGGAAAACCGCAUAUCCGGGUCUGUGCGGGUGUCCGGUAACGGGCGUUCCUACCGGGAG
Molecule: unclassified non-coding RNA, 72 nt
Filed under: Candidatus Kentrum sp. MB
Lineage: Bacteria; Pseudomonadati; Pseudomonadota; Gammaproteobacteria
Source: RNAcentral